This is a long non-coding RNA of Acinonyx jubatus (cheetah), 1380 nucleotides long. RefSeq lists it as uncharacterized. The record is from RefSeq and is a predicted model, not a curated record. NCBI's taxonomy places the organism in Eukaryota, Metazoa, Chordata, Mammalia, Carnivora, Felidae. The transcript is spliced from 2 exons.
AGGCCUGUAAUUAUCUGUGGACGGAAUUAAGAAAUAGGCAUUGCAAAAGAACUUCUAGCAAUUGCAGAAUCACUAGAAGAAUUAAUUAUAUUGCUUUCCAAGGUGACCAUUCUGGCUCAUUGUGACAUAUAGGUUCUAGAAUGUAGAUCUAAAAGAUUAUGCUGUUUACCUGGAGGCCAAACUUGGUCUACGUGCAUGGAAAGACAUAAAUGCGGGCAUAUAUUUCCCAUGUUUCACUCUACGUGACAUUAAAUAUAGUUGCGAAAUGAUUCCAUAGUCAUCUAAAACUUCAAUCACUUCCCAUUGGCCUGGAAACUGAAAAACCAGUCUUUAUAUUAUUUGGGGGAUUUUCUUGACCCUGCUGUGCUAACAUGAUGCGGAAAUCACCUUCAAGUUCUGUCCCACCACCGUUUUUGCUUAUCUGGAAGAGUGACGCAACACUCCCUUCUGGGCCCGGCUGGCUGCCUGUGGAAAUUGACGCUUGAUGUUCCUCUCUGUCCGAACCCCUCAAAGUCAUGCUGGAGGCUACGAUGGCACUGAGGAGGUGCCUCCCCUGAAGGAAACCUUGCAGGAGAGGUAGGUUACAUUCCCCAGGCAAUGGCACUACCCAAAUCACCCGUGUAAUAUGCAUUUCUCAGCGAGUGGCUCAGAGUAAGUGUUCAAUAUGUAAUGACAGGUAGUAUUUCCUCACCCAAAUCUGGCGAAUGGCCAAGAUGUUGUCAUAAUGCAGAUGGACCAUUCCAGUUUAGUUAAGUUUCCUUAACGUGAGGGCUCCCCCGCUUCCCCCAAAGGCCUGCAGACCCACCCGGCCGCCACCCACUGCUGGUAGGUAGACAGUGUCCCACCUCUCUCCCACCCACCGCCCACCCAAGGGUUUAUCUACAUACUUGCUGGUCUGCCUCUGGUGCUGGAUGACCAUGUUUUUCUCGUGGAUUGUCUCUAGUAGGGCCGUUGCCAGAGAUUUCAGAUCAGAAAUGGACUGUGGAGUAGCUGGGAGACUGCACCCAUGAUCCUCAGACAACAGAUCCUGAACUAGGUGGGAUUAAAGUUUACAACUCAGUGUUAAGUCCUUCUGAAACGCUGGAAUGCAAACCAAUGUCCAUUCUUCCUGGAUAACAAAGCUGGGAUACGUUCCCAGCUCCUAAAUGCUACGAUGUUGUACUGAAGAAUCCGCAUCAAGUGUCAAAAGUAAAACAAAACAAAAUUCAGCAUGAGGGGUAAACGGAAAGUAAAAGGAGGAAGUUCUCGUGGACUUUUACCAACAAUGUUUUAAAAGGAUAAUAAUAAUCUUUUGUAUUUGUCCAGUCUUUUGCCCUUUCACAACAUUUUCAUACUAACUCAUUUGAGGCUGAAAAUUAAAAAAAAAAAAAAGAAAAAAAA